RNAcentral lists this ribosomal RNA (381 nucleotides) under uncultured bacterium. Its description in RNAcentral is "bacterial SSU rRNA". It matches the Rfam family "Bacterial small subunit ribosomal RNA", at positions 92 to 505 of the family's 1533-position model. The record is from RNAcentral.
UGAGUGGCGCACGGCUGAGUAACACGUGGGAAUCUGUCGUCCAGUGGGGGAUAACGCAUCGAAAGGUACGCUAAUCCCGCAUACGUUCCGCAAGGAAGAAAGGCGCAAGUCGCUGGAUGAGGAGCCUGCGGCCCAUCAGGUAGUUGGAGAGGUAACGGCUCACCAAGCCAAUGACGGGUAGCUGGUCUGUGAGGACAACCAGCCAGACUGGGACUGAGAACGGCCCAGACUCCUACGGGAGGCAGCAGUAAGGAAUUUUCGUCAAUGGGGGAAACCCUGAACGAGCAACGCCGCGUGGAGGAUGACGGUCUUCGGAUUGUAAACUCCUUUUAUGAGGGACGAUAAUGACGGUACCUCAGGAAUAAGCCCCGGCUAACUCUG